Rosa chinensis is the source of this 1016-nucleotide long non-coding RNA. RefSeq lists it as uncharacterized. The transcript is spliced from 9 exons. The record is from RefSeq and is a predicted model, not a curated record. Lineage: Eukaryota; Viridiplantae; Streptophyta; Magnoliopsida; Rosales; Rosaceae.
UUAAUUGCGACUGCAGUUACAUGCCGUCGCAUGUGCUUGUGUCAAUUGUGACAAAGCUAACAAGUCGUCGCUUGUUUUAGGUAAUAAGAUACGAGUGUGAGGGAAAAAAAAAAAAGGAUAAAAACCAGAUCCAGAUCUGGUUUCCUCUCUCGUUCUCUUCCUCUCGUCACAUGGCAAACACACAGAGAAACUCAUUCCAUUGUCAUUUCGUCUUCCUCUCAGGUUAUUCCAGGGUGGGUUAAGACAUCUAGAUACUAGCCAACAUAAACCCUAACUUUCUCUUCCGGUGGAUUGAAGAACUGGUUCCCUUGGCUGCGUUUGAGUGUUCGCAGGCACGAGGUUGAUAGUGGAAAUCAAACUUGGUUUGCAGAUGAAACUUUUCUUCUACUCUGGGUUUUGAAUUUGGGUGAGACAUAAUCUCUUCGUCAAUUUCACCAAACAGAGUACCUUGGUCUGGCAUCGAAUUCUCCAAUCCCUCCGUGAAUUGAAACAUAUAAUUAACUAGAAUGAACUGUUUAGGAGGACAAGAGCUGCUUCCCGAGGAACGAACCUAAGAAGCUCAAAUUGCUUGGUCUUGAUUUGUCUAUUUCUUUCUGUUUUUUGAUGCUCGCAAAUGGCCUACUAUGGAACCUUGAAAAUUGAUCUUCAACAUUGGAGCUUUUGAAGCCAUUGUCUCUCAGUUUCGGUAUCACACACUUUCUUAGGGAACUUGCUUGUUGCAUGUAUAACCAGAUCUUCAUGUUAUGCCAAGCUGAGGUUGCAUGAUAAAAAUGAAGGGUGUUUGGUAUAUUCACAGAGAAAGCAUCUUUGGCUGCACCACCACAGAUAUUUCAUAAGGAGCCAUUCUUCUAUGGACAUGAUAACUACGAUCAGCUAGUGAAACUGGCAAAGGAGGCUUGCAACAACACUAGAGUAAUUGGUACGUGAACUACAUAGAUCGAAGAAGAUUCCUGCAAAGUUUAUCUUGAAGUAGAGGAAAAUAACUAACUUAUAAAAUUUAAUUAUCUAGUAAACUU